This is a long non-coding RNA of Dinoponera quadriceps, 902 nucleotides long. RefSeq lists it as uncharacterized. NCBI's taxonomy places the organism in Eukaryota, Metazoa, Arthropoda, Insecta, Hymenoptera, Formicidae. The transcript is spliced from 3 exons. The record is from RefSeq and is a predicted model, not a curated record.
GGUUGUUUUACAACACGCCCCCAUCCGGAAUAAAAAAAGUCUAGUUUUUCCAUUAAUUCGGUUGUACGAAAAAUUGCAAAAUACGUAGAGGCAAAAGAGUGAGAGAAGCACAGUUGGACGCUUAAGUUUAACUUUCACUCGUUCGUGUUGUUUUUUAGGGAAUAAAGUAACGCGUCGUUUCAAAAAUGAUAGCCGCGAUAGCUUUGACGAAAGUUGAGUUUGUUACUUUCUUGAGAGAUGGUAGCGUGAUAAAACUUACAAGGGAACAAAGGGAGACAGCGAGCGAGUUGAACAAGCAAGACUAAAAGCGACCGAGAGAGAAGGAAGAGAGAAAGACACACACACACACACACGUGCGUGCAACGCAUAUUAUAUAUAUACAUAUAUAUGUAUGCAUAUAUAUAUAGACGUUCUAUCGAUCGAGAACUGGUCCCACCUCACGUAGCAUGAAAAAGCACAAAAGUUAUCGUUCGUCAAUAACAAAAGGAUAAGAAACUUGAAUGAUCAAUGAUGAAUGAAUGAAAUUUGAUGAUGGAAUCAGAAGUAAUCUCAGAGCCUCCAAGGGUUUCCAAUAUUCCAUUGGAAGUGCAGUCCAAUUUGUUACUGUACUUGAAAAUCUAAACCGUUGCAUCAUGUUAUUUUAUAUCGACAGUUCGGUUUAGUCUUCAACAUUUAUCACUCAAUUACUAGCAGUUUUAGAUACUCAGAACUGCAUUAAUCAUAUAGAGUCCAAGAAAACAAUAUAAAAUGUAGAUCACCAUGGAAGAGAAAUUUUAUUAAGAUAAUCGUUAGAUAGCAUUUGAAUUGCCUGAUAAAGCUGUUUUAUGUUCAAGUGACCUGAGAAAAGCACAAUAUAUAUAUAAAUACUUGAACUUAGAAAUAUUUUAGAAAUGAUGCCAAAG